GCUUCAAUUAAGCAAUCACAGCGAUGUGGUUGGUCGUGUGACAACGUAAGGUUGUUGCGGACGAGAGAUUUAGAUAACGCACGCAGUGCGGUCUUUACCGGUUAGUGUGCUGAUAU
RNAcentral lists this ribosomal RNA (116 nucleotides) under Aeromonas salmonicida subsp. salmonicida A449. The record is from RNAcentral. Lineage: Bacteria; Pseudomonadati; Pseudomonadota; Gammaproteobacteria; Aeromonadales; Aeromonadaceae.